Danio aesculapii is the source of this 867-nucleotide long non-coding RNA. RefSeq lists it as uncharacterized. The transcript has 3 exons. Lineage: Eukaryota; Metazoa; Chordata; Actinopteri; Cypriniformes; Danionidae. The record is from RefSeq and is a predicted model, not a curated record.
UGUUCCGUCAGAGAGAAAGCGCGCGCGCGCGGGAGGUGCGACAGGUGAGUCUGCAGGUGCGCAGGAUUCGGCCCUCUUGUGGAAGAGCGUCAGGGAAGGAGACGCAGUCACGACUGACACACAUCACUCUGGAGCAAACGCAAUGUCAAAGGCAGGAGUGUUGAUUGUGUUUGAUCCGGGUUUGUGUUGAAGUAAAAGAGCAUCUUAUACAAUUGACGGCUACAAUUAGCUGCCGAUCAGAGCGCCGGAGAACAACACUUACACUCGCAUUUACAUGUCAGUUUGUUGAAUAAAAAGGAGGCAGAGAAAAAAAAGAGAGCCGUAGGAUUUUCCUUUUUCUGUGUUUGCUGUAUAAUUUGUGGAGAUUUGAGAAAAGAGGAGGAACGCAGAGAUGCUCAUUAACAUGUGAAAAGAAGCAAUCAGGGGCCACUGCUGAGACUAUUGUCCACACUCAUCCGUAGAGAGAGAGAGAGAGAGAGGGAGAGAGCAUUACAGGCCAAAGAUGAGCUCUUAUCCGCCUCUCUAUUGAAUUUUACCUAUGACUCUCUCUCUCUCUUCCGCACACGUUUCCUCUUUGGAGGAUUGUAAUAUACUCCAGUAAUGUUUUUUAUUGCUGCAGUUAAAUGUGGACUUACAGUAAAGAUGCUUGAAGUAAAGUUUUUAAUGCAAAAGUGUGUGUAAAAUGUUGAGAAAGUCAAUAUAAAUCUCACACACCUGAGCAUAUGAAUAUAAGCUGUUCUUUGACUGGUCAUGGGUAGGACCAGAUGUAAUCUGCGGAUGUUUUUUGCUAUUUCUGCAGAGAAUUUUGGUAAAAAUCUGUGGAUUUCUGCGCAGUUAUUUUGGGAGUAUCAUAACUAAAACCUUAAU